GUUUUGGGCAGCAUUUCCGGCGCAAUUUGGUCCUUUUGGCCUGACCUACUACAAGACACCCACUGAUGGGGCUUCCGAUGACAGGCAGGCUAACUCCGAGAAAGAGAGAGAGCUUUGAUCAAUUGACGGACGGAAUUGAUAACGGUUCUUAUUUGGCAAUUUCAUAUCAGAAGACAAAGAGCUAAGCUCGAAAAUCUUGGAUUUUUCACAGCUCCUCAUCUACUGUGAGCAUACCUGGUCCUGGGAACUUGAUUCCAUCACAUCUAGUUUGCUCGGAGAUUAUGAUUUUUAGCAUUCAAGACUCAGAAUUCUAAAGCAGGAUAAUCCUGGAACUCUUUAUAACUUUAAACUGACGCAUUGUAGUGUGCCUGGUAUUCACUUGGCAGCUUAAGCUUUAGGAUUCCCAUUUCAAUGCCCUUAUCUGCAAUCAAUUGGAUCUGAUUACAGACACUGGGCCAAUUAUGCUACCCUGCCAUCUACAGUAGUCGUGCCAAAUACUUCCUUAUUUGUUGCCAAAAGUUUUCGAAUUCGCUCUGUUUUUUCCCGAAUCUAAUUAAUUUUUUUUGAUCUUGUCUUACCUCAAUUUGCGUAGGGCGGAAAUAGAAUGACCUUCUCUGGUCUUGAAACCCUGCAAUUGGC
This 639-nucleotide unclassified non-coding RNA is filed under the name Hevea brasiliensis (rubber tree). Lineage: Eukaryota; Viridiplantae; Streptophyta; Magnoliopsida; Malpighiales; Euphorbiaceae. The record is from RNAcentral.